This 308-nucleotide ribosomal RNA is filed under the name uncultured bacterium. RNAcentral describes it as "bacterial SSU rRNA". It matches the Rfam family "Bacterial small subunit ribosomal RNA", at positions 30 to 332 of the family's 1533-position model. The record is from RNAcentral.
AUUGAACGCUGGCGGCGUGCCUAACACAUGCAAGUCGAGCGGUAACAGGUGUAGCAAUACAUGCUGACGAGCGGCGGACGGGUGAGCAAUAUUUGGGAAUCUGCCUAUUAGUGGGGGAGUAACCCGGGAAACGUCGGGCGUAAUAACCGCAUACGCUCUACGGAGGAAAGCCGGGGACCGCAAGGCCGUGGCGCUAGUAGAUGAGCCCAAAUACGGAUUAGCUAGUUGGUGAGGAACGGCUCACCAAGGCGACGAUCCGUAGCUGGUUUGAGAGAACGACCAGCCACACCGGAACUGAGACACGGUCC